UCGAGAAUUUUUCACAAUGGGCGAAAGCCUGAUGGAGCGACGCCGCGUGGGGGAUGAAUGGCUUCGGCCCGUAAACCCCUGUCAUUCGCGAGCAAACGUUGUUAUUUAAAAGAUGAUAGCCUGAUAGUAGCGAAAGAGGAAGGGACGGCUAACUCUGUGCCAGCAGCCGCGGUAAUACAGAGGUCCCAAGCGUUGUUCGGAUUUACUGGGCGUAAAGGGUGCGUAGGUGGUGGGGUAAGUCGGAUGUGAAAUCUCCGAGCUCAACUCGGAAAGUGCAUUGGAAACUACCAUGCGAGAGGGUUGGAGGGGGGACUGGAAUACUUGGUGGAGCAGUGAAAUGCGUAGAUAUCAAGUGGAACACCAGUGGCGAAGGCGAGUCCCUGGACAACUCCUGACACUGAGGCACGAAAGCUAGGGGAGCAAACAG
This 427-nucleotide ribosomal RNA is filed under the name uncultured bacterium. RNAcentral's name for it is "bacterial SSU rRNA". It matches the Rfam family "Bacterial small subunit ribosomal RNA", at positions 355 to 775 of the family's 1533-position model. The record is from RNAcentral.